GACGAACGCUGGCGGCGUGCUUAACACAUGCAAGUCGAACGGAAAGGCCCUGCUUUUGUGGGGUGCUCGAGUGGCGAACGGGUGAGUAACACGUGAGUAACCUGCCCUUGACUUUGGGAUAACUUCAGGAAACUGGGGCUAAUACCGGAUAGGAGCUCCUGCUGCAUGGUGGGGGUUGGAAAGUUUCGGCGGUUGGGGAUGGACUCGCGGCUUAUCAGCUUGUUGGUGGGGUAGUGGCUUACCAAGGCUUUGACGGGUAGCCGGCCUGAGAGGGUGACCGGCCACAUUGGGACGGAGAUACGGCCCAGACUCCUACGGGAGGCAGCAGUGGAGAAUAUUGCACAAUGGGCGGAAGCCUGAUGCAGCAACGCCGCGUGCGGGAUGACGGCCUUCGGUUUGUAAACCGCUUUCGCCUGUGACGAAGCGUGAGUGACGGUAAUGGGUAAAGAAGCACCGGCUAACUACGUG
Molecule: ribosomal RNA, 468 nt
Filed under: uncultured bacterium
Lineage: Bacteria
Description: partial 16S ribosomal RNA
Rfam family: Bacterial small subunit ribosomal RNA
Source: RNAcentral